This 272-nucleotide ribosomal RNA is filed under the name uncultured bacterium. RNAcentral describes it as "partial 16S ribosomal RNA". It matches the Rfam family "Bacterial small subunit ribosomal RNA", at positions 37 to 305 of the family's 1533-position model. The record is from RNAcentral.
UGGCGGCGUGCCUAACACAUGCAAGUCGAACGCGAAAGUCUCUUCGGAGACGAGUAGAGUGGCGAACGGGUGAGUAACGCGUGGGCAACCUGCCCUAAACUGGGGGACAACACCGGGAAACUGGUGCUAAUACCGCAUAGAUGAUACUACGGCAUCGUAGAAUCAGAAAAGGAGUUAAAUCCGUUUUAGGAUGGGCCCGCGUCCAAUUAGCUAGUUGGUGAGGUAAUUGCUCCACCAAGGCGACGAUUGGUAGCCGAACUGAGAGGUUGAUC